UACAAAUGAUCUGGGAAAAGGAUGUUUGU
Molecule: non-coding RNA, 29 nt
Filed under: Rattus norvegicus (Norway rat)
Lineage: Eukaryota; Metazoa; Chordata; Mammalia; Rodentia; Muridae
Source: RNAcentral